Molecule: ribosomal RNA, 254 nt
Filed under: uncultured soil bacterium
Lineage: Bacteria
Description: partial 16S ribosomal RNA
Rfam family: Bacterial small subunit ribosomal RNA
Source: RNAcentral
AGAUUGAACGCUGGCGGCAGGCCUAACGCAUGCAAGUCGAGCGGUAGAGAGGUGCUUGCAUCUCUUGAGAGCGGCGGACGGGUGAGUAAUGCCUAGGAAUCUGCCUAGUGGUGGGGGAUAACGUUCGGAAACGGACGCUAAUACCGCAUACGUCCUACGGGAGAAAGCGGGGGACCUUCGGGCCUCGCGCCAUUACGAUGAGCCGUAGGUCGGAUUAGCUAGUUGGUGAGGUAAUGGCUCAACCGAAGGCGACG